Molecule: long non-coding RNA, 596 nt
Organism: Cucumis melo (muskmelon)
Lineage: Eukaryota; Viridiplantae; Streptophyta; Magnoliopsida; Cucurbitales; Cucurbitaceae
Exons: 4
Source: RefSeq, a predicted model, not a curated record
GGAGGAGAAAAAGAAAGGAGAAGAAGAAGAAGUCGCCGCCGUGCAUAAUCCUUUUGUUCCGCCGCUGUCCGUCGCCGACCGCCCUCGCCGUUGUUCCUCGUCGCCGUCUGCCACUUUAGAAAUAGGAAAGGAAGAUGAAGUAUCGGGAAAUAUUGGUUCUGGUUCUAUGUUUGCUUGGGUUUGUUCUUGGAGUGUAUGGAUUGUUGGAAAGGCAGUGAAUAAUUUCUAAAAGAAAAUGGGAAUAUCAUUACAUUUUCACCCAUAGGUAAAGUGUUUGGCUCUAAUGAAAGUGGAAUUCAAUUGGGUAAAGUUAAAAGUGUUUGAUAGAGGGUGUUUGAUACAGUAGUCGGGGAAAUUGCAAUUAUUACGAACUGAACCAAGUUCCACAACAAGGCUGAUCAUAGUUGCGCCAGUUGAAGAUUCAAAAUCCACGUGUUGGGUGUUCUUGAUAUUGCUUGUAGAAUGAUUGAAGUCAUAUCAAACUGAAAGCUAAGCAAUUGUGUAGAAAGUCAGACGAUCGUUGAAGGUUUGAGAAGGCGUUUAAGAUUUCUUAUUUAAGUUUUGUAUUAGGAUCUUGUUUCAUGUACCGUUGUCGA